RNAcentral lists this ribosomal RNA (432 nucleotides) under uncultured bacterium. RNAcentral's name for it is "partial 16S ribosomal RNA". It matches the Rfam family "Bacterial small subunit ribosomal RNA", at positions 29 to 507 of the family's 1533-position model. The record is from RNAcentral.
ACGAACGCUGGCGGCAUGCCUAACACCUGCAAGUCGAGCGAGACCUUCGGGUCUAGUGGCGCACGGGUGCGUAACGCGUGGGAACCUGCCCUUAGGUUCGGAAUAACUCCCCGAAAGGGGUGCUAAUACCGGAUAAUGUCUUCGGACCAAGGAUUUAUCGCCUUUGGAUGGGCCCGCGUUGGAUUAGCUAGUUGGUAGGGUAAAAGCCUACCAAGGCGACGAUCCAUAGCUGGUCUGAGAGGAUGAUCAGCCACACUGGGACUGAGACACGGCCCAGACUCCUACGGGAGGCAGCAGUGGGGAAUAUUGGACAAUGGGCGAAAGCCUGAUCCAGCAAUGCCGCGUGAGUGAUGAAGGCCUUAGGGUUGUAAAGCUCUUUUACCCGGGAUGAUAAUGACAGUACCGGGAGAAUAAGCUCCGGCUAACUCCGUG